This is a small nuclear RNA of Myotis lucifugus (little brown bat), 105 nucleotides long. Lineage: Eukaryota; Metazoa; Chordata; Mammalia; Chiroptera; Vespertilionidae. The record is from Ensembl.
GUGCUCGCUUCGGCAGCACAUAUACUAAAAUUGGAACGAUACAGAGAUUAGCAUGCCCCCUGCGCAAGGAUGAUCCAUAUUUUUCUUAAAAAACAAAACAAAACA